This 438-nucleotide ribosomal RNA is filed under the name uncultured bacterium. RNAcentral's name for it is "bacterial SSU rRNA". It matches the Rfam family "Bacterial small subunit ribosomal RNA", at positions 339 to 794 of the family's 1533-position model. The record is from RNAcentral.
CUACGGAAGGCAGCAGUGGGGAAUCUUGCACAAUGGAGGAAACUCUGAUGCAGCGACGCCGCGUGAGCGAUGAAGCCCUUCGGGGUGUAAAGCUCUUUCGACGGGAACGAUAAUGACGGUACCCGAAGAAGAAGCUGCGGCUAACUACGUGCCAGCAGCCGCGGUAAUACGUAGGCAGCAAGCGUUGUUCGGAAUUACUGGGCGUAAAGAGUGUGUAGGCGGUGCUCUAAGUCUGUUGUGAAAUCUCCCGGCUUAACCGGGAGGGUGCGGCGGAAACUGGAGUGCUUGAGGGUGGGAGAGGUAGGCGGAAUUCGUGGUGUAGCGGUGAAAUGCGUAGAUAUCAGGAGGAACACCUGUGGUGUAGACAGCUUACUGGACCACUUCUGACGCUGAGACACGAAAGCGUGGGUAGCAAACAGGAUUAGAUACCCUGGUAGC